Non-coding RNA from Tetranychus urticae (two-spotted spider mite), 775 nucleotides. Lineage: Eukaryota; Metazoa; Arthropoda; Arachnida; Trombidiformes; Tetranychidae. The record is from RefSeq and is a predicted model, not a curated record.
AUUAAUCGUAUUUAGUUCAUAUUGAGAUAUUUAGUAGAUUGAAACCUGGGUAAUAAGACGAUUAUUUUAUUAUCUGUGUAGCACCAUCUCGAAAGAUUUUACGUAAUUUUUGUUUCAGGCUAGCCAGUAAAGUCUUGCCCAAUCUUUAAUUGAUUUUUUAUAGUAAUUUUGCAUCGAUUUCUUCAAAAUUAAGCUCAAUUUAGAUCAAUUUGAUCUUUUAGCCCAUAUUUAGCCGCAGCAAAGUCAGAAUUUUCUAAACGGACGAGCCUGGGGCAAGUUUUCCCCUGGAAAUAUCUCGCUUUUGCUGAACUUCUCCUUCAUCUUCAACAUGGGAAAUGGCAAACACGCUUGCAUACACAAGAAUUUUCGACUCGUUUUUCGAGCAUUUUUCACUUAAAAUCCUUUAUAACCCAUUGGAUUUUACCUUCCAUGACCAUUGAUCAUUCAAGAAAGUCUCCAAUUUGAAUAAACAAUCAAGGAACCAAUCUAUCGAUUCAUAAAAAAAGGAUUCAAAGUUGACAGAUGAAGCAAAAAAGACGAUGAACACAUGGAAAAAUUAAAAUUGAUAUCAACAUUACCAACCCAUUGGAACCCAUUUUCAAUUAAUAAUUUCUGGUCAACAAUUCAUCAUUCUGGUCAUUCAAAUCAAUCAUUAUCACCUUUAACAACCAUUAGUUGAUACAAAAAGUGAUAGCAACUUGAUAACAAUUAAUGGUUCUAGUGGUAUUAUUAUAUUUCACCAAGAAAACAAUUCUUGCAUUAACCUUUGAAAAUG